This 291-nucleotide unclassified non-coding RNA is filed under the name Hevea brasiliensis (rubber tree). The record is from RNAcentral. Lineage: Eukaryota; Viridiplantae; Streptophyta; Magnoliopsida; Malpighiales; Euphorbiaceae.
UAGAAGUCACUGAAUCCCAUGUUAGGUCACAGAAAUUAUUUGGAAGGAAAUAAGCUUCAGUAGAUACGGGGGUCAAUUGACUGAACUGAUUGUGGAUAAAAUUUGUGUGCCAGCUAAACAAGAAUAAUUCACUAUCUUCCUUAUAAUACAUUAUCAUUAGCACUUUCUUCCAAACAAGAAUCCCCUUAGCUCCCCCACUCUCUCUUUUCUUCCCCCAGACAAAGAAGAGCACUCCUUGUUUUACCAUUUGAGAGUACCUAUUGGCAAAAGGGACACCAAAUGAAAGUAGCA